This 58-nucleotide transfer RNA is filed under the name Enterococcus sp. Its description in RNAcentral is "tRNA-Thr". It matches the Rfam family "tRNA", at positions 8 to 62 of the family's 71-position model. From Rfam's summary of the family: Transfer RNA (tRNA) molecules are approximately 80 nucleotides in length. Their secondary structure includes four short double-helical elements and three loops (D, anti-codon, and T loops). Further hydrogen bonds mediate the characteristic L-shaped molecular structure. tRNAs have two regions of fundamental functional importance: the anti-codon, which is responsible for specific mRNA codon recognition, and the 3' end, to which the tRNAs corresponding amino acid is attached (by aminoacyl-tRNA synthetases). tRNAs cope with the degeneracy of the genetic code in two manners: having more than one tRNA (with a specific anti-codon) for a particular amino acid; and 'wobble' base-pairing, i.e. permitting non-standard base-pairing at the 3rd anti-codon position. Lineage: Bacteria; Bacillati; Bacillota; Bacilli; Lactobacillales; Enterococcaceae. The record is from RNAcentral.
UUAGCUCAGUUGGUAGAGCAACGCACUCGUAACGCGUAGGUCGUAGGUUCGACUCCUA